RNAcentral lists this transfer RNA (84 nucleotides) under Caudoviricetes sp. Its description in RNAcentral is "tRNA-Leu". It matches the Rfam family "tRNA". From Rfam's summary of the family: Transfer RNA (tRNA) molecules are approximately 80 nucleotides in length. Their secondary structure includes four short double-helical elements and three loops (D, anti-codon, and T loops). The record is from RNAcentral. Lineage: Duplodnaviria; Heunggongvirae; Uroviricota; Caudoviricetes.
GCUAGAGUGGUGGAAUUGGCAUACACGGCGGACUUAAAAUCCGCUACCUUUAAUGGUAUGUGGGUUCAAAUCCCACCUUUAGCA